GCCUUUGUGGUGUAAUGGUCAGCACACUGAGCCGGUAUUUCAGAGGUCCGUGGUUCGAUCCCCGGCGAAGGCA
Molecule: non-coding RNA, 73 nt
Organism: Stegodyphus mimosarum
Lineage: Eukaryota; Metazoa; Arthropoda; Arachnida; Araneae; Eresidae
Source: Rfam